CCUACGGGUGGCUGCAGUGGGGAAUAUUGGACAAUGGGGGGAACCCUGAUCCAGCCAUGCCGCGUGUGUGAAGAAGGCCCUCGGGUUGUAAAGCACUUUCAGUGAGGAAGAACGCCUGGUGGUUAAUACCCAUCAGGAAAGACAUCACUCACAGAAGAAGCACCGGCUAACUCCGUGCCAGCAGCCGCGGUAAUACGGAUGGUGCGAGCGUUAAUCGGAAUUACUGGGCGUAAAGCGCGCGUAGGUGGCUUGAUAAGCCGGUUGUGAAAGCCCCGGGCUCAACCUGGGAACGGCAUCCGGAACUGUCAAGCUAGAGUGCAGGAGAGGAAGGUAGAAUUCCCGGUGUAGCGGUGAAAUGCGUAGAGAUCGGGAGGAAUACCAGUGGCGAAGGCGGCCUUCUGGACUGACACUGACACUGAGGUGCGAAAGCGUGGGUAGCAAACAGGAUUAGAUACCCUUGUAGUC
This 465-nucleotide ribosomal RNA is filed under the name Vreelandella stevensii. RNAcentral's name for it is "partial 16S ribosomal RNA". It matches the Rfam family "Bacterial small subunit ribosomal RNA", at positions 338 to 795 of the family's 1533-position model. The record is from RNAcentral. Lineage: Bacteria; Pseudomonadati; Pseudomonadota; Gammaproteobacteria; Oceanospirillales; Halomonadaceae.